GAAAAACAUUAAUAUCAAUUCCAUGAAUUCCUCUAAGAACCAUUCCUCUAUUAAAUCAUUUAAUCCCUACAGUAGCCUGACGAGUAGGCAGUGUUACUAAGAUUCCUAUUUCACAGACAAGGAAAACUAAGAUCACAAGGCCAGCAAACAGGCAAGCUAAGUUCUGUAGCCUGCACUCUAAACGGUUACACACACUGCUUCUCAAUAGUUCACCUCCACGGGAAAGAUGCAGAUUUCUCCAGCAACAAAAGAUGCUAAGUCAAAAUGGCUCACUGUUUCUUUUCUUUUUCUUUUAAAUUUUUUUAUUUGUUCUUUUUAGUUAUACAUGACAGUAGAAUGGAUUUUGACAUAUCAUACAUGGAGUAUAACUUCCCGUUCUUGUGGUUGUACAUGAUGUGGAGUUUCACUGGUUGUGUAUUAUAUAUGAACAUAGGAGAAUUAUGUCCUAUUUAUUCUACUGUCUUUCCUAUUGUCUUAGUGUUUCUGAGCAAUGAAGCAUGAGGGAGAAUAAAGACCUCUUUAGACAUUUAAGACUUAGAAUACUUACUUCCCAAAUGUCCUUUCUUAGGAAGUUACUUAAGGAUGUAAGCCUCAAAAAUAAGGAAAAAAUGAAAAAGGAGAAUUAAGAGAGUGAUAAAAAUAACUCCUAGGAAGAGAUGUAUAAUGCAAUUUGGAGAAAUAUGACUGAGGAUUCCAACUGGGAAAGGGGCCUCUAUGGAGUUAUUAGCAUUACAGAGAAUUGAUAAAACUUGAUGGAAUAAUAAAUAGGUAGAGGGGAAGAAAAGAAAGAGCAUUUUAAACUCCAGGAAAACAAAAGGCCAUAGAACAAAGUCAGAGUUUGGAUAAAGAGUCUGGGAAGGGGAGGCAGGAACAGUAGAGUCAAUGCUACUUGAUCUUUGAGCCCCACACAUGAUGCUCUGAUGCCAAUAUUUGUAUCUAUAUCUAGGUUUAAUUUUCUUUAAGAGAGUGAAAUAUUCAUAGUUGAGUGGGCUGAAAUAACUUCAUGUACAAGUUGGGUCUAGAGCAAAAUUCUGAAAGAGGAAAAAGUCUGAACUGGUAGCCAGGAACAAGAAGACAUUAAACCCUGAGAAAGGAAAAAAAUUUAUUUAAAAAGUAAAAGUCUUACCUUGAAUAGGUAGGAGAACUAUUGAGCUAUCAGUAAAAUUUCUUUUUUUUAAGUUGUAGAUGGACACAAUAUCUUUAUUUUUAAAUUUAUUUUUAUGUGGAGCUAAGGAUCAAACCCAGUCCCUCACAUGUGUGAAGCAGGCUGUAUACCACUGAACUACAGCUCCAGCCCCAGUAAAAUUUCUUUAAAGGCAGAGAAAGUUCACUGUAUGAAUACUAGACAUGAAAGUGGGGCAAACAGGGCUGGAGGGCUAGUAAUCCGCAGGGUUUAUAGAAGGACAACUCCUCAUGUGUUUUUUUGCAGCAGAUCUGCAAACUGUUAACUCUAGGUCCUGAGGUAGAACCAGGAUAGUACUCAGGUCUGAGCACACCAUGUUGCGACUGCCUGAUGCUCAUAGAGACACUGGUCCCUUGUUUAAGGACAGUGCCUUCUAAAAGGGUUGAAAGUCACACAAGAGCCCAGGGAUCUAUGGACAAAGAUGUUCACUGCAGCACUGUUUAUAGAGCAAAGCAGAAUAAAACAAAAUCUAAGUCUGGAAACACCUUGAAUGCAUGUUUGUAGGGGAAUAUUUAAAUAGAUUAUAAUAUGUGAUUUAUUUAUUCAUACACCAUUCAAUGGCUGUUAAAAAGAAUGAGGCUGAGCUACAUGAACUGCUACAGAAAGAUGUCUACCAUAUAGUAAAUAAAAAAGGCAACUUGCGAAAGAGCAUAUAUAUUAUGAGUGUUUGUAUUAAACAUAUGCAUAAUACACACUGCAAAAUGUACUUUUAUAAUUGAAAGUGCUAGUUAGCAAAAUAAACUGCUAGUGAGAAAUCUAUCUGGUCUCUCACUUUUGGCAUCUGCUUCUUUGAGAAGUGAAGCAGGAAGGGAUUCAGGGAAGUCGUGAGGGAAGACUGAAAGCCUAGGGGCCAGGGAAAAGGCCAGGGAGGCGGGUGGGUGAACCAGAAAGGGUGGCUGAGGGACUGGCAGUGAAGUACAGUGGUUAGGGAGGAUGAGCAGGGUAGAGGAUCCCCAGGACCAAACUGUCCUCAGGGAAGCCACCAGCACUCUGGGAUACAAAUCCCACAUGUUUAGCUUUGACUGGGAGCUUGUUCAAACAAAUCCUGAGGCAUCAUGAGCAGCAGCUGCACUGAAGUCUUUUGCAACAAGUGGGCAGCAACCUGGUUGCUGGAAGGCACCCUGUAGGGAGAGAACUUCCUGGUGCUGGUAGAGAGACAGCAAUGGGCGAUAGUAAUGAAAGCAGCUCCAAGCACUGAACAUCUAACCAUAAUCACAGCUACCUCUUCAUUGAGACCCAUGCCUGUCAUUUGUUCUGUCCUAUUUGAGGCAUCCAUCCUCAGACAACGCUACUAGAUGCAAUUGUCACUAAUAUGUAGACAGGAAGCUCAGGUAUAGGGAGGGGAGGUAACAGCUUUGAGGUUACACAGGUACAGCAAGAUGCAGAGCCCAGAAUGAAACUCAGAGACCAGAGGUCUCCAAAGAGACUUACUUCUGGUGACUUUUGUUCUGCCUUUAUUACACCUGUCUAUACUGUUGGAGUUUCCUACAAUGGGCAUUCCAACCCUCCAAAAUUCAUGUUGAAACAUAACCCUGUUGUGGUGGUAUUAGGAGGUGUGGCCUUCUGGGAAGUGACUGCCAUGAGGGCAGAGUGCUGAAGGGAACUGGUUUAGACCCUUCUUGACCUUCUGCAACAGGAUGCAUCGUUAAGGAAAGGAAAGCAGCCAGGCUCUGACCCACUGGCAUCUUGGACUUUUGGCCUCCAAAAGGGUGAGAAAUAAAUUCCUAUUAUUUGUAAACUAUCCAGUUUCGAGUAUUUUGUAUAGAAGUACAAUGAACUAAGACAGAAAUACAUCCUUUUUUUUCCCCCUUAAGAUAUGUUACUAUGUUGCUGCCCAGUCUGGCACUGACCUCCUAGCUCAAGUGAUCCCCCCUCCUCAGCCUGCCUCGGAGCUGAUACUACAGGUGACAGCAUGAUUGGCCAGACAUCAUUAGUAGGAUGAAGAAAUCCUAGUAAGUUCCCAUGGGGGGAGGGCCUGGGAAGGGAGUUCCUUUGUGCAGCUGAACACAG
This 3193-nucleotide long non-coding RNA is filed under the name Marmota monax (woodchuck). The record is from RNAcentral. Lineage: Eukaryota; Metazoa; Chordata; Mammalia; Rodentia; Sciuridae.